GUUUUUGUAGUUGAAGUACAACGGUGGUUUUUCAUAUCAUUGGUUGUGGUUAGAAUCCACGCAAAAGCA
Molecule: transfer RNA, 69 nt
Filed under: Cercopithecus mona (Mona monkey)
Lineage: Eukaryota; Metazoa; Chordata; Mammalia; Primates; Cercopithecidae
Description: tRNA-Glu
Rfam family: tRNA
About the family: Transfer RNA (tRNA) molecules are approximately 80 nucleotides in length. Their secondary structure includes four short double-helical elements and three loops (D, anti-codon, and T loops).
Source: RNAcentral